This 345-nucleotide long non-coding RNA is filed under the name Gorilla gorilla gorilla (western lowland gorilla). RNAcentral's name for it is "lncRNA (ENSGGOG00000044406.1)". The record is from RNAcentral. Lineage: Eukaryota; Metazoa; Chordata; Mammalia; Primates; Hominidae.
UGGCACUUAAAAAUAUGCCCAUUGAAACUGGGGCAGGUUCAAAUUAAAGUGUUGCCAGUAAGCAUAAAGGAGAGGAGUGAGUGCAGAUGGGAAAUCAGAAAAUAUAUUCAAAAGCAUUUUAAUUUUAAACAUAUGCACUUGAUUGUUUACUAUAGAUAUUCUCUGAGUUUGAAAAAGCAUAAAGGCUCAGCCAAGAUACUGCAAAAAUACCAAGCAAAAAGGCCAGAGUUAAUGAACACCUGAAUCUGCGAAUAUGAUUUGAAUAGGAAAGAAUGGGCAGAUACAAGACAUAUUGUGAGGGGAAUCUGAGGUUUGAGUAAAAGAUUUCUUGCCAUCCUAAAGGAA